RNAcentral lists this ribosomal RNA (397 nucleotides) under uncultured bacterium. RNAcentral describes it as "partial 16S ribosomal RNA". It matches the Rfam family "Bacterial small subunit ribosomal RNA", at positions 523 to 918 of the family's 1533-position model. The record is from RNAcentral.
AUACGUAGGUGACAAGCGUUAUCCGGAUUUACUGGGCGUAAAGGGCGUGUAGGCGGUCUUGCAAGUCAGAAGUGAAAUUCCUGAGCUCAACUCGGGCGCUGCUUCUGAAACUGCAGGACUUGAGUGCUGGAGGGGAUAGCGGAAUUCCUAGUGUAGCGGUGAAAUGCGUAGAUAUUAGGAGGAACACCGGGGGCGAAGGCGGCUUACUGGACUUUAACUGACGUUGAGGCUCGAAAGCGUGGGGAGCAAACAGGAUUAGAUACCCGGGUAGUCCACGCCGUAAACGAUGAAUACUAGGUGUAGGGGGUAUCGACUCCCUCUGUGCCGCAGUUAACACAAUAAGUAUUCCGCCUGGGGAGUACGGCCGCAAGGUUGAAACUCAAAUGAAUUGACGGGG